RNAcentral lists this ribosomal RNA (383 nucleotides) under uncultured Rikenellaceae bacterium. RNAcentral describes it as "bacterial SSU rRNA". It matches the Rfam family "Bacterial small subunit ribosomal RNA", at positions 1001 to 1382 of the family's 1533-position model. Lineage: Bacteria; Pseudomonadati; Bacteroidota; Bacteroidia; Bacteroidales; Rikenellaceae. The record is from RNAcentral.
CCGAAAGGUCUGCGCCAGCGAUGGCCGCUUGCGAGGUGCUGCAUGGUUGUCGUCAGCUCGUGCCGUGAGGUGUCGGGUUAAGUCCCAUAACGAGCGCAACCCCUACUGCUAGUUGCCAGCGGGUCAUGGCCGGGGACUCUAGCGGAACUGCCAGCGUAAGCUGCGAGGAAGGGUGGGGAUGACGUCAAAUCAGCACGGCCCUUACGUCCAGGGCUACACACGUGUUACAAUGGCCAGUACAGAGGGCAGCCCACCCCGCGAGGGGGCGCUAAUCCUAAAAGCUGGUCCCAGUUCGGAUCGGAGUCUGCAACCCGACUCCGUGAAGCUGGAUUCGCUAGUAAUCGCGCAUCAGCCACGGCGCGGUGAAUACGUUCCCGGGCCUU